This 74-nucleotide transfer RNA is filed under the name Bothrocara hollandi. RNAcentral describes it as "tRNA-Asp". It matches the Rfam family "tRNA". From Rfam's summary of the family: Transfer RNA (tRNA) molecules are approximately 80 nucleotides in length. Their secondary structure includes four short double-helical elements and three loops (D, anti-codon, and T loops). The record is from RNAcentral. Lineage: Eukaryota; Metazoa; Chordata; Actinopteri; Perciformes; Zoarcidae.
AAGACACUAGUAAAAGUAUAUUACACCGCCUUGUCGAGGCAGCGUUGUGGGUCAGACUCCCGCGUGUUUUGCCA